RNAcentral lists this ribosomal RNA (436 nucleotides) under Moesziomyces antarcticus. Its description in RNAcentral is "partial large subunit ribosomal RNA". It matches the Rfam family "Eukaryotic large subunit ribosomal RNA", at positions 180 to 695 of the family's 3401-position model. Lineage: Eukaryota; Fungi; Basidiomycota; Ustilaginomycetes; Ustilaginales; Ustilaginaceae. The record is from RNAcentral.
CCUAAGUCCCCUGGAAAGGGGCAUCAUAGAGGGUGAUAAUCCCGUACAUGGCUUGGAGCGCCCGAGGCUUUGUGAUACGCUUUCUAAGAGUCGAGUUGUUUGGGAAUGCAGCUCAAAAUGGGUGGUAAAUGCCAUCUAAGGCUAAAUAUUGGGGAGAGACCGAUAGCGAACAAGUACAGUGAUGGAAAGAUGAAAAGAACUUUGAAAAGAGAGUUAAACAGUACGUGAAAUUGCCAAAAGGGAAGGGUAGGAGGUCAGAGAUGCGGCCUGGGAUUCAGCCUUGCUUUUGCUUGGUGUUUUUCCCAGAUUGCAGGCCAACGUCGGUUUUGGGCACUGGAGAAGGGUAGGAGGAACGUGGCACCCCUCGGGGUGUGUUAUAGCCUCCUACUGGAUACAGCGACCGAGACCGAGGACAGCAGCGUACUCGCAAGAGCGG